GCAGGCCUAACACAUGCAAGUCGAGCGGUAGCACAGAGAGCUUGCUCUCGGGUGACGAGCGGCGGACGGGUGAGUAAUGUCUGGGAAACUGCCUGAUGGAGGGGGAUAACUACUGGAAACGGUAGCUAAUACCGCAUAACGUCGCAAGACCAAAGUGGGGGACCUUCGGGCCUCAUGCCAUCAGAUGUGCCCAGAUGGGAUUAGCUAGUAGGUGGGGUAACGGCUCACCUAGGCGACGAUCCCUAGCUGGUCUGAGAGGAUGACCAGCCACACUGGAACUGAGACACGGUCCAGACUCCUACGGGAGGCAGCAGUGGGGAAUAUUGCACAAUGGGCGCAAGCCUGAUGCAGCCAUGCCGCGUGUGUGAAGAAGGCCUUCGGGUUGUAAAGCACUUUCAGCGGGGAGGAAGGCGGUAAGGUUAAUAACCUCGUCGAUUGACGUUACCCGCAGAAGAAGCACCGGCUAACUCCGUGCCAGCAGCCGCGG
Molecule: ribosomal RNA, 487 nt
Filed under: Klebsiella pneumoniae
Lineage: Bacteria; Pseudomonadati; Pseudomonadota; Gammaproteobacteria; Enterobacterales; Enterobacteriaceae
Description: bacterial SSU rRNA
Rfam family: Bacterial small subunit ribosomal RNA
Source: RNAcentral